This 891-nucleotide ribosomal RNA is filed under the name Pedobacter terrae. Its description in RNAcentral is "bacterial SSU rRNA". It matches the Rfam family "Bacterial small subunit ribosomal RNA", at positions 82 to 974 of the family's 1533-position model. Lineage: Bacteria; Pseudomonadati; Bacteroidota; Sphingobacteriia; Sphingobacteriales; Sphingobacteriaceae. The record is from RNAcentral.
GCUUUUAUCGAAAGUGGCGCACGGGUGCGUAACGCGUAUGCAACCUACCUUUAUCUGGGGGAUAGCCCGGAGAAAUCCGGAUUAAUACCGCAUAAAAUCACAGGAUGGCAUUAUCCAAUGAUCAAACAUUUAUGGGAUGAAGAUGGGCAUGCGUGUCAUUAGCUAGUUGGCGGGGUAACGGCCCACCAAGGCGACGAUGACUAGGGGAUCUGAGAGGAUGGCCCCCCACACUGGUACUGAGACACGGACCAGACUCCUACGGGAGGCAGCAGUAAGGAAUAUUGGUCAAUGGAGGCAACUCUGAACCAGCCAUGCCGCGUGCAGGAAGACUGCCCUAUGGGUUGUAAACUGCUUUUAUCCGGGAAUAAACCUGAGUACGUGUACUCAGCUGAAUGUACCGGAAGAAUAAGGAUCGGCUAACUCCGUGCCAGCAGCCGCGGUAAUACGGAGGAUCCAAGCGUUAUCCGGAUUUAUUGGGUUUAAAGGGUGCGUAGGCGGCCUGUUAAGUCAGGGGUGAAAGACGGUAGCUCAACUAUCGCAGUGCCCUUGAUACUGAUGGGCUUGAAUGGACUAGAGGUAGGCGGAAUGAGACAAGUAGCGGUGAAAUGCAUAGAUAUGUCUCAGAACACCGAUUGCGAAGGCAGCUUACUAUGGUCUUAUUGACGCUGAGGCACGAAAGCGUGGGGAUCAAACAGGAUUAGAUACCCUGGUAGUCCACGCCCUAAACGAUGAACACUCGCUGUUGGCGAUACACAGUCAGCGGCUAAGCGAAAGCGUUAAGUGUUCCACCUGGGGAGUACGCUCGCAAGAGUGAAACUCAAAGGAAUUGACGGGGGCCCGCACAAGCGGAGGAGCAUGUGGUUUAAUUCGAUGAUACGCGAGGAACCUUAC